This 216-nucleotide long non-coding RNA is filed under the name Homo sapiens (human). RNAcentral's name for it is "non-protein coding lnc-PEX2-5:1". Lineage: Eukaryota; Metazoa; Chordata; Mammalia; Primates; Hominidae. The record is from RNAcentral.
GUUUGCUUCUUCUGAAAUCUCAUGUCUAAACUUAAUCCCUAAUGUGGCAGUAUGGAGAAGUGGGGCUUUUAUGAGGUGAUUGGGUCAUGAGAGCUCUGCUCUCAUAAAUGCAUUAAUCCAUGAAUGGGUUAAUGGAUUAAUAGGUUAUCAUGGGAGUAGGACUGAUGUCUUUAUACAAAGAGGAAGAGAGUCCUGAGCUAGCAUGAUCAGCCCCCU